This 69-nucleotide transfer RNA is filed under the name Nemipterus japonicus (Japanese threadfin bream). RNAcentral's name for it is "tRNA-Glu". It matches the Rfam family "tRNA". From Rfam's summary of the family: Transfer RNA (tRNA) molecules are approximately 80 nucleotides in length. Lineage: Eukaryota; Metazoa; Chordata; Actinopteri; Spariformes; Nemipteridae. RNAcentral also lists the same sequence under 1 other name. The record is from RNAcentral.
GUUUCCAUAGUUAAGUUAUAACGGUGGUUUUUCAAGUCAUUGUCCUUGGUUAAAGUCCGAGUGGAAACU